This 489-nucleotide ribosomal RNA is filed under the name uncultured bacterium. RNAcentral's name for it is "bacterial SSU rRNA". It matches the Rfam family "Bacterial small subunit ribosomal RNA", at positions 17 to 509 of the family's 1533-position model. The record is from RNAcentral.
UCCUGGCUCAGGAUGAACGCUGGCGGCGUGCUUAACACAUGCAAGUCGAGCGAAGAUAUAUAAGGAAUAACUUCGGUUAGGAAAGAUAUAGCUUAGCGGCGGACGGGUGCGUAACACGUGGGUAAUCUGCCCUUAUCAUCGGGAUAACAGUUGGAAACGACUGCUAAUACCGAAUAACAUAUAGCCUAGGCAUCUAGGAAAUAUCAAAGGAGACGGAUAAGGAUGAGCCUGCGUCUGAUUAGCUAGUUGGUGGGGUAAGAGCCUACCAAGGCGACGAUCAGUAGCCGACCUGAGAGGGUGAUCGGCCACAUUGGAACUGAGACACGGUCCAAACUCCUACGGGAGGCAGCAGUGGGGAAUAUUGCACAAUGGAGGAAACUCUGAUGCAGCAACGCCGCGUGAGUGAAGAAGGUCUUCGGAUCGUAAAACUCUGUCGUAUGAGAAGAUAGUGACGGUAUCAUAUGAGGAAGCCCCGGCUAACUACGUGCC